This is a long non-coding RNA of Fukomys damarensis (Damara mole-rat), 1713 nucleotides long. RefSeq lists it as uncharacterized. Lineage: Eukaryota; Metazoa; Chordata; Mammalia; Rodentia; Bathyergidae. The record is from RefSeq and is a predicted model, not a curated record. The transcript is spliced from 3 exons.
CUGCUCAAGAGUCAUAUGUCCUCAGUUAUAGUGUCAUCUUGCCAUUAGAGAUGUCACAAUAUCAUCCAUCCUUGAGACCUCAAUUGUGACUGUUAGCACAGGGAGUUCUGUUUCCAUACACCAGUCAAAGUCUCAUCAGGCAGGUCACACUUGGCCUUGGGCUGGCUCACAAUUGAAUUAACAGCUGACUUAUAAGCCAGUUCAAUAACAUUUUAUAGCCUGCCCAGCGUGGUUUCAAGCUGGUCUCCUGCAAUGGUGAUUACAGAAUUCACAGGAAAUUUGAACUCUUUGCAAUGGCCCAGUUUCUCACAUUGUGAUAAACUUCCUUGAACACUGAUAAGUUAAUCGUUAAGAUUAACGUUUUGUGAAAAGAAGAGACACAGUAGUGCACUGAUUGAUGUAAAAAAUAGCGCUGGACUACAAGAUUCAGCUGGCUGUGGUGUUCUGUGGAAGACAGGAGAAAGAGCAACAGCAUCCCUAGCCUGAGAUGGCCCAAAGAAGGUUUGCCUGCAUCUCAUACAUACUGGAACUUCUGUGAAAAGUUGUUUAUGUGCCUCUCCCCUACCCUCUUACCAAACAAAAAACAAGUCAAUGUGCUUAAGGUGUCUCAUAGUCAAAGGCUCGGGGAAAAGAAUUCAUCCAUCACAGAGAACUGCGCAGAUUAGCAUCAAGUCCUCAGAAUGACCAUGCCAUUGUCCUUGAAAAACACAGCCCUGUGGUUUCUCAUUGUAAAGCGGAACACAACCUGGGAGAAACAGCAGCACCGCAACGCUGAAGAGAUAGCCCCUUGUGCUUCACCGGCUUCUUUAUGGGUUUGGAAUAAGAGAAAAGAUGAUAGCCAAUUUCCAUUAAAUGAGCGAUAGACCUAGGCUUAGAGAAUUCACAAGAGAAACAAACCUAAAAGAAGUUGAAUAGCAGAAGACUGUUCAUUAAUAUUGAUUGCCUUACAAGCCAGGCAUGAGGUGUAAAUCAUUUCAUUUAAUCAUUACAAAGACCUGAAGAAGCAAGUAUUGGCUCUAUUUUGUAGAUGAGAAAGUGACAAUUCAGUGGAGGUGAUAUCUAAACACGCUCAGUGCCUAUGUUUGCUGGAGCUUCGUUCUGGUUGUUGUCACAGAACUCUCCGCAGGUCAUGGGGCCACUUCCUCCAGCAGCACCUGUAUCUGAAUUUGAUGGUGUACUUUGGCCAGAUAGACCUUAUCAGAGGGUGCACAUCAAAGCAGCUCUCUGGGCAAAUGUACUAUGAGAGCGUUCUCCAGAGACUCAAAAACAAUACAGAGCUGCUUAUUUUAUGUCAUUAAAGAUUUUGUUCCAAAUGACAAGUCCAAAACCCCGCAGAUUGAGGCAGGAGUUGUUGCUGUGCUCCUACAGCAGAACUGUAAGGGAAACCUUACUUUCUGCUCUUAAGACAAUCAUUGUUUGGACCAGGCCCUCUAUUAUUGAGGGCAGAGUCUUGUACUUAAAGCCAACUAUUACACAUAUUAACCACAUACAAAAUAUCUUCACAGAAAUAUGUCGAUUAGCAUUUGAUUAAGUAACUGGGUACUACAGCCUGGCCAAGACAAUACACAAGAAUUUCAUGCAUGGACACUUACUAGAAAAAAGGAUAAUAUAUUUCAGGUUAAGUCCUGAGGACCACUAUGUUUACAGGAAUUGCAAAAGAGAGUCACAUAUAUAGAGAGCAUUUACUAGAAAGAUUAUAAAUGCUGUGUGAUA